GCUAAACGCGAAGAACCUUACCAAGGCUUGACAUACACGAGAACACCCUAGAAAUAGGGGACUCUUUGGACACUCGUGAACAGGUGGUGCAUGGUUGUCGUCAGCUCGUGUCGUGAGAUGUUGGGUUAAGUCCCGCAACGAGCGCAACCCUCGUUCUAUGUUGCCAGCACGUAAUGGUGGGAACUCAUGGGAUACUGCCGGGGUCAACUCGGAGGAAGGUGGGGAUGACGUCAAAUCAUCAUGCCCCUUAUGUCUUGGGCUUCACGCAUGCUACAAUGGCCGGUACAAAGGGCUGCAAUACCGUGAGGUGGAGCGAAUCCCAAAAAGCCGGUCCCAGUUCGGAUUGAGGUCUGCAACUCGACCUCAUGAAGUCGGAGUCGCUAGUAACCGCAGAUCAGCAACGCUGCGGUGAAUACGUUCCCGGGUCUUGUACACACCG
RNAcentral lists this ribosomal RNA (439 nucleotides) under uncultured bacterium. Its description in RNAcentral is "bacterial SSU rRNA". It matches the Rfam family "Bacterial small subunit ribosomal RNA", at positions 954 to 1392 of the family's 1533-position model. The record is from RNAcentral.